Molecule: ribosomal RNA, 1127 nt
Filed under: Lysinibacillus fusiformis
Lineage: Bacteria; Bacillati; Bacillota; Bacilli; Caryophanales; Bacillaceae
Description: bacterial SSU rRNA
Rfam family: Bacterial small subunit ribosomal RNA
Source: RNAcentral
CACGAGGUGAGUAACACGUGGGCAACCUACCUUAUAGUUUGGGAUAACUCCGGGAAACCGGGGCUAAUACCGAAUAAUCUGUUUCACCUCAUGGUGAAAUAUUGAAAGACGGUUUCGGCUGUCGCUAUAGGAUGGGCCCGCGGCGCAUUAGCUAGUUGGUGAGGUAACGGCUCACCAAGGCGACGAUGCGUAGCCGACCUGAGAGGGUGAUCGGCCACACUGGGACUGAGACACGGCCCAGACUCCUACGGGAGGCAGCAGUAGGGAAUCUUCCACAAUGGGCGAAAGCCUGAUGGAGCAACGCCGCGUGAGUGAAGAAGGAUUUCGGUUCGUAAAACUCUGUUGUAAGGGAAGAACAAGUACAGUAGUAACUGGCUGUACCUUGACGGUACCUUAUUAGAAAGCCACGGCUAACUACGUGCCAGCAGCCGCGGUAAUACGUAGGUGGCAAGCGUUGUCCGGAAUUAUUGGGCGUAAAGCGCGCGCAGGUGGUUUCUUAAGUCUGAUGUGAAAGCCCACGGCUCACCGUGGAGGGUCAUUGGAAACUGGGAGACUUGAGUGCAGAAGAGGAUAGUGGAAUUCCAAGUGUAGCGGUGAAAUGCGUAGAGAUUUGGAGGAACACCAGUGGCGAAGCGACUAUCUGGUCUGUAACUGACACUGAGGCGCGAAAGCGUGGGGAGCAAACAGGAUUAGAUACCCUGGUAGUCCACGCCGUAACGAUGAGUGCUAAGUGUUAGGGGGUUUCCGCCCCUUAGUGCUGCAGCUAACGCAUUAAGCACUCCGCCUGGGGAGUACGGUCGCAAGACUGAAACUCAAGGGAUUGACGGGGGCCCGCACAAGCGGUGGAGCAUGUGUUUAAUUCGAAGCACGCGAGACCUUACCAGGUCUGACAUCCGUGACACUGUAGAAGAUAUGGUUUCCCUCGGGGGCACGUACUGGUGUGCAUGAUGUCGUCAGCUCGUGUCGUGGAGAUGUGGUAGUUCCGCACGAGCGCAGCCUGAUCUAGUUGCAUCAUAAGUGGGCACUCUAAGUGACUGCCGUGACACCGGAGGACGUGGGAUGACGUCAAUCAUCAUGCUAUGACUGGCUACACGGUCCAUGACAAUCACGUUGAUCAUUCGGGGAAG